AUUGAACGCUGGCGGCAUGCCUUACACAUGCAAGUCGAACGGCAGCACGGGUGGCUUGCACCUGGUGGCGGAGUGGCGGAACGGGGUGGAGUAAUACAUCGGAAUGUACCUUGUAGUGGGGGGAUAGCUCGGCGAAAGCCGGAUUAAUACCGCAUACGCUCUGAGGAGGAAAGCGGGGGACCUUCGGGCCUCGUGCUACAAGAGCAGCCGAUGUCAGAUUAGCUUGUU
This 228-nucleotide ribosomal RNA is filed under the name uncultured Pandoraea sp. RNAcentral describes it as "partial 16S ribosomal RNA". It matches the Rfam family "Bacterial small subunit ribosomal RNA", at positions 30 to 250 of the family's 1533-position model. Lineage: Bacteria; Pseudomonadati; Pseudomonadota; Betaproteobacteria; Burkholderiales; Burkholderiaceae. The record is from RNAcentral.